This 1942-nucleotide long non-coding RNA is filed under the name Macaca fascicularis (crab-eating macaque). Its description in RNAcentral is "lncRNA (ENSMFAG00000052428.1)". Lineage: Eukaryota; Metazoa; Chordata; Mammalia; Primates; Cercopithecidae. The record is from RNAcentral.
CUCUGACUUUCCUUUAAAAAUGACAUUAUGGCUGAGUGUACGUUCUUGAUACCUCUAUAAUCUUUUCAAAAACAUUGUGAAUGGUAUUCAACUAUCUUAUGUCAUUUAGUAUUGUUUGAGUAAGUGUAUAAGAAAUAGAACGUUUGUUCUACAUCUGACAAACUUUUUUUUUUUUUUUUUUUGGUCAGCUGCAGAACAAAAGUUAGAUUUUAUUUUCAGGAAAAGUUUAUAAUGCUUGUUGUCCACAGCAUUAUUUGGCCUAUUUUCUUUCUUUUUUUAUUACGAGAGAUUUAGUCCCAUCCAUAUUUUCGCCAAAAACAGGUUAUGUGGUGGUCCUUAUCUUGUCCAUCAAGCCCUUUUUCCCAAAGGAUAACUGAAGGAGAUCACAUACAUUCCAACUUACUGAGUCUGACAGACAUUCAUCUGAUGAGAUCCUCUUCAGCUGAGGAACUACUGCUGUAAGGAAAAAAGGAGAGCUACAUGAGGACCACACAACUCCUGGAGGAGGUUUCCCUGGCAACACAACUUUUCCAUUCAUCUGGUUGCAGUGUUUUCAUCCAGUAGCCUGUCACCUCACUCAAAAGCAAGGCAGAUUUAUAAAGGAAGCUGCUGGAGGGAAUUCAUUCCCUUUUCGCUGUUCUGCCUUCCACCUUUCACUGUGUGAGGACACUGCAAGAAAGUCCUCAUCAGACACCAAUUGCCAGCACCUAGAUCUUGGAAUUCUCAGCCUCCAGAACUGUGAGAAAUACAUUUUUAUUUUUCUAUAAAAUAAUAAUAAUAAUAAAAAACUUCCAUGCAGGAAAAAAAAAUCAAGUUCAAAUGUCCUGUGGUGAGGGCAUGCCAGCUUUGUUUGAGAAGCAGUAAUCAUGCCUGUGUGACUGUAAUGAAAGAAUAAAAGAUAAAUUAGCAUGGAAGAAUGUAAUGUAGUCCUUUUCACUUUAAGCAAGAAAUUUGGCUUCAAUUCUAAAUCUGGUAAGAAAAAAAUAGAAGGUUCCAAACUAAGAAGUGACAUGAUAUGAAAUGUUUUAACAGAAUCACCUUCGUUACCAUAUUGCAAAUAAAAUGAAAGUGCAUCAAGGGCAGAAGUAGGAAGGCAAGUUAUGAGAUUGUUUUGAUAAUCCAGAGGAGUUGGGAUGGUGACUUAAAGCAGUAUGGUAGCGAUCGGUUGGGUAAGCACAUGGAAUCCUGGGUAUUUAUUAAAGGUUCAGCAAAAAGGAUUUACAGAUGAAACAGAUAUGGGUCAUGAGAAAGAGUCAAGUUAAAGAUUAUAUCAAAAUUUUUUAUCUGAACAACUCGCAGUGCUGUGGUAAAUCCUUACCCCAACAAUUUACAUGACCAAUAACUGAGUGGGAACAUUAAGGAGGGGAUGGUUUGAGGAAGAAUCAGGAUCUCAGGUUGGAAAUAUUAAGAUGAAUAUGCCUAUUUAACAAUCAAAUGAAAAAUAGUAUUUUUGUAAUUUUCAGUAUUUAUUUGGCAAGAGAUUAAUCUAUAGCACUGUUACUACUUUCUCUUUUUCAUAAAAGUUGUUUUGGUAUAAAAUCAACCUGACUGGAAACUAUUCAAAUAUAUAAGCCUUUAGCUCUGACCUAUUACUUAUAUUUUUUUGCCAUUAAUAAUAUGAAUAUCCACCAAACAAGAACUUGAGACUAUAACUCUUUUCUCCACUAAAUCUUCAUAUUAAAUUAGUCAUUUAAAUAUGAUUAUUCUUUUCAUUUAUUGCUAAAUACUUUCCAUUACAUUCAAACUUAUUGAGACAUCCUUUAAUUUUAUAAUUUAUUUAAUGUAUUAAUUCCCUAGCUUCUAAACUGGUUCUCUCUACUGCAACUCUAUUUUCUUCUUAAUAACUCAUCAUCUACAUUCCCCAAUGUCUUAUUUUUCCAAAACAAAAGUGCACUCAUGUCCUUCUAGGGCAUACAUUUCUUUAAUGGCUUUCUAUUGUUAU